RNAcentral lists this unclassified non-coding RNA (255 nucleotides) under uncultured Scutellinia. Its description in RNAcentral is "sequence contains 5.8S rRNA gene". The stretch from base 1 to 53 matches the Rfam family "5.8S ribosomal RNA", at positions 102 to 154 of the family's 154-position model. The record is from RNAcentral. Lineage: Eukaryota; Fungi; Ascomycota; Pezizomycetes; Pezizales; Pyronemataceae.
GAACGCACAUUGCGCCUCCUGGUAUUCCGGGAGGCAUGCCUGUUCGAGCGUCAUUAAAAACCAUCAAGCACUCUUUGCUUGGACUUGGUAGAUGAGUGCCUACGGUCCUCACUGCCGAAAUUGAAUGGCGGAUAGCCUUGGGGUGCCCCAGCGUAGUAAGUCUUCUUUCGCUUGGAACCCAAAGACGGUCCUGCCCUCAACCCCCACAUCUUAUGGUUGACCUCGGAUCAGGUAGGGAUACCCGCUGAACUUAAG